RNAcentral lists this long non-coding RNA (443 nucleotides) under Fukomys damarensis (Damara mole-rat). Its description in RNAcentral is "lncRNA (ENSFDAG00000029008.1)". The record is from RNAcentral. Lineage: Eukaryota; Metazoa; Chordata; Mammalia; Rodentia; Bathyergidae.
AUGAAAAGCAGCCUCCAGGAGGACUGCAGCUGUCACUGUCAUCAAGACUGUGAAGUUUCAUUACUUACUGCGUUUCCCAGACAUGAGACACCACACCUGGAAUUUUCAAUUUUGGUCUUUUCUCAAUGUCGCGCGCACCUCGCCAGCAAGGAGCACGCAACACUCAGGAUUCUUCUGAUGCACACUUUAUUGGAGUUUCUUCUACAUUCUUCAAGAUGGCGGAAAGACCCCGAGCCGGAUGCGAGCCUGCCUUUUAUAGCCUCCCGGGUGACGUAGCCCAUUUCUAUUGGUCAAUGCCGGCCUUCAUCAUUCUGACGAACCAAGCGCCUCAUCUGCGCAGGCGUGAACCACCGUCACCGGCGGACUCAUAUCCGGAAUUCAUGCAGGGCAUGAAGAACCCGGAAAUAAUGGCGCGUGACAUCCAAGAUAUCAAUAUGUGGUGA